This 468-nucleotide ribosomal RNA is filed under the name uncultured bacterium. RNAcentral describes it as "partial 16S ribosomal RNA". It matches the Rfam family "Bacterial small subunit ribosomal RNA", at positions 28 to 507 of the family's 1533-position model. The record is from RNAcentral.
GACGAACGCUGGCGGCGUGCUUAACACAUGCAAGUCGAACGGAAAGGCCCUGCUUUUGUGGGGUGCUCGAGUGGCGAACGGGUGAGUAACACGUGAGUAACCUGCCCUUGACUUUGGGAUAACUUCAGGAAACUGGGGCUAAUACCGGAUAGGAGCUCCUGCUGCAUGGUGGGGGUUGGAAAGUUUCGGCGGUUGGGGAUGGACUCGCGGCUUAUCAGCUUGUUGGUGGGGUAGUGGCUUACCAAGGCUUUGACGGGUAGCCGGCCUGAGAGGAUGACCGGCCACAUUGGGACUGAGAUACGGCCCAGACUCCUACGGGAGGCAGCAGUGGGGAAUAUUGCACAAUGGGCGGAAGCCCGAUGCAGCAACGCCGCGUGCGGGAUGACGGCCUUCGGGUUGUAAACCGCUUUCGCCUGUGACGAAGCGUGAGUGACGGUAAUGGGUAAAGAAGCACCGGCUAACUACGUG